Molecule: long non-coding RNA, 274 nt
Organism: Cervus elaphus (red deer)
Lineage: Eukaryota; Metazoa; Chordata; Mammalia; Artiodactyla; Cervidae
Exons: 4
Source: RefSeq, a predicted model, not a curated record
UCAUUACUCUGUGAGCCUGGACUCACAGAGCGAGUGGAGGAAGACGGCGCUCCCAGGGAGGGCAGGUAGGAGAUCUGAUGAGCGCUGACGGUGGCCUGGCGCAGAACGGUGGUUGCAGAGGAGUCUGUGAUUAAGACAACAAGCCAGUAAGCCGAUGACAUUGGCGUAGUAACAGUCUGCAUUUUGAGCAUCAAGCAUCACCACUGUUGCUGACACUAAAGGGAAAAAUCCCGUCCAGCCCUUCAGCAGAUACUCCGCUUCUCCCAGGACACCU